UUCCUCUGCCCCUGUGUGCCCACGGCCCUGUUGCUGCACUGGCCCGAUGAAUCGAAUGUCUUCUGCAAUAACUGGAACGGCCCCGUAAACUCUGUCGCGUCGGCGGACUGAAUGCGCAGGACGAAAAACAUUGCUGCGAAGACGUCCCCUCUAGACGACGGUAUAUCAUCCUGUGACGACCACAUUGAAGUCUGAAUUUGAAGUGUGGAGAUGCUUCAGCAACCACAUCGUACUUUUCCAUUGCUUUCAUUGUGCUUCUCCUGUGCAUGUGUGUAACUUGUGGGGUACAGUGCUGCCAAACCGUCCGAUUUUUGAAGGCUAUUCCGAAAACCGGUCCGAAAAAGGAAACGUCCGAAAAACAUGCAAAAAUGUUAGAGAUCAUUACGUUCCUAUGCCGAAGUCCUGUAUUUUCACUUUUCAGCGCAACUGAAGGCACAAAACACUGUACAUGUGCUUCUAAAAAGGCUGGCGCUUGGCUGUUGAAGUGCGAAGUAAUAACAGUUACAUGCCUAGAUGCAAUGUACACUGUACAAUGUGUGACCACACUCAUGCAUUACAAAAUUCAUGACAACUUCGGGGUGCCAUUUUGGUUACCAUGGGAACGAAGCGAUUUUUCAUGGUAUUUUGGGCGAUAUUUUGAAUUCUCCGGAAAAUUUUGCUGAGAAGAUAAAUUCGCACCAUGUGGCCAGCCUUGGCGGUGAAGGGUGUCCGAUUUGGGGCGAAAAUUAUUUGGCAGCACUGGGGGUAUACUUGUGAUGACAUUGUGUGCUGGCGACACGGUCAGAUUUUGUCCAUGCGUGUAACGUACACCUGCAUGUUAUGCAUUGAAAAGGAUCUGCCACUUGCGAUCCUGGGACGAGUAUCAGGUCAGCUUUGUCUUGUGUGGGCUGUACCAGAUUGCUGUUCACUUCUCUAUCUGUUGGAUAUGUGACUUUCUGCAAGUUUCUGGUGUAUGGUGGCCACUUCUUUGCUUGUCACUUUAUAUGAUAUUACAUUCUGUAUUCGCUGCUUCCAUUGCGUGGUCUGCAAACUCCAAUCCUUGGGCAAAUGUCAUGUUUGCUAUGUUGUGCUUUGGCCGUCAGCUUGUCUACACGUUGUAGUUGAAUUAUUUUGUUUCACAACUGACUUCCUGAA
This is a long non-coding RNA of Sycon ciliatum, 1134 nucleotides long. RefSeq lists it as uncharacterized. The record is from RefSeq and is a predicted model, not a curated record. The transcript has 2 exons. NCBI's taxonomy places the organism in Eukaryota, Metazoa, Porifera, Calcarea, Leucosolenida, Sycettidae.